This 643-nucleotide ribosomal RNA is filed under the name Photobacterium damselae subsp. damselae. Its description in RNAcentral is "bacterial SSU rRNA". It matches the Rfam family "Bacterial small subunit ribosomal RNA", at positions 848 to 1491 of the family's 1533-position model. Lineage: Bacteria; Pseudomonadati; Pseudomonadota; Gammaproteobacteria; Vibrionales; Vibrionaceae. The record is from RNAcentral.
GGAGCUAACGCGUUAAGUAGACCGCCUGGGGAGUACGGUCGCAAGAUUAAAACUCAAAUGAAUUGACGGGGGCCCGCACAAGCGGUGGAGCAUGUGGUUUAAUUCGAUGCAACGCGAAGAACCUUACCUACUCUUGACAUCCAGAGAAGCUUGAAGAGAUUCGAGUGUGCCUUCGGGAACUCUGAGACAGGUGCUGCAUGGCUGUCGUCAGCUCGUGUUGUGAAAUGUUGGGUUAAGUCCCGCAACGAGCGCAACCCUUAUCCUUGUUUGCCAGCACUUCGGGUGGGAACUCCAGGGAGACUGCCGGUGAUAAACCGGAGGAAGGUGGGGACGACGUCAAGUCAUCAUGGCCCUUACGAGUAGGGCUACACACGUGCUACAAUGGCAUAUACAGAGGGCAGCAAGACCGCGAGGUGGAGCGAAUCCCAGAAAGUAUGUCGUAGUCCGGAUCGGAGUCUGCAACUCGACUCCGUGAAGUCGGAAUCGCUAGUAAUCGUGGAUCAGAAUGCCACGGUGAAUACGUUCCCGGGCCUUGUACACACCGCCCGUCACACCAUGGGAGUGGGCUGCACCAGAAGUAGAUAGCUUAACCUUCGGGAGGGCGUUUACCACGGUGUGGUUCAUGACUGGGGUGAAGUCGUAA